This 253-nucleotide ribosomal RNA is filed under the name uncultured bacterium. RNAcentral describes it as "partial 16S ribosomal RNA". It matches the Rfam family "Bacterial small subunit ribosomal RNA", at positions 524 to 776 of the family's 1533-position model. The record is from RNAcentral.
UACGUAGGGAGCAAGCGUUGUCCGGAAUCAUUGGGCGUAAAGCGCGCGUAGGUGGCUUCGUAAGUCCGUUGUGAAAGUCAAAGGCUCAACCUUUGAAAGCCGAUGGAUACUGUGAAGCUAGAGUACGGAAGAGGCGAGUGGAAUUCCUGGUGUAGCGGUGGAAUGCGCAGAUAUCAGGAGGAACACCAAUAGCGAAGGCAGCUCGCUGGGACGUUACUGACGCUGAGACGCGAAAGCGUGGGGAGCAAACAGG